This 68-nucleotide transfer RNA is filed under the name Edessena gentiusalis. RNAcentral's name for it is "tRNA-Leu". Lineage: Eukaryota; Metazoa; Arthropoda; Insecta; Lepidoptera; Erebidae. The record is from RNAcentral.
GCUAUUUUGGCAGAAAAGUGUAAUGGUUUUAGAAAUCAUAAAUAUAUAAUUAAAUUAUAUAAGUAGUA